This 475-nucleotide ribosomal RNA is filed under the name uncultured bacterium. RNAcentral's name for it is "bacterial SSU rRNA". It matches the Rfam family "Bacterial small subunit ribosomal RNA", at positions 28 to 449 of the family's 1533-position model. The record is from RNAcentral.
GAUAAACGCUGGCGGCGCACAUAAGACAUGCAAGUCGAACGGAAGUCGUUGUAAUGAUAUAGACAUGGACUGAGAACUUGUUCAAAGAAAGUGAAAGUUGACUUACAACAAUGGCUUUAGUGGCGGACUGGUGAGUAACACGUAAGCAACCUGCCUAUCAGAGGGGAACAACAGUUAGAAAUGACUGCUAAUACCGCAUAUGCCUAAGUACCACAUGGUACAAUAGGGAAAGGAGCAAUCUGCUGAUAGAUGGGCUUGCGUCUGAUUAGAUAGUUGGUGGGGUAAUGGCCUACCAAGUCAACGAUCAGUAGCCGGACUGAGAGGUUGAACGGCCACAUUGGGACUGAGAUACGGCCCAGACUCCUACGGGAGGCAGCAGUCGGGAAUAUUGCGCAAUGGAGGAAACUCUGACGCAGUGACGCCGCGUGCAGGAAGAAGGUCUUCGGGAUUGUAAACUCCUGUUGUUGAGGAAGAU